GUCAAAGCCAAAUCCCGUGCCCACCUGGCCAGAAUCCCUUGUCCCGCAGAACAGGGAUCCCGCGAGAAAUCCCGGUCCGUGGCAGUUGGCACCCAACGUGGGGCUUCCGUCAGAAUGAAGAAUCCCCAAUUCCUUAGAUCCCAAAAAGACUGGUCCAAACAGCCCUGCCUCUCCCACUCUCUGAGAAGAGGAGGGAGAAGAACAGAGAAAACAGAAGCUGACAGCUGACAGAAAUGGAGAAGCAGACAUCCACCACAGACUACAACAACAAGAAUCGCUAACACUGCUGCUAUUCAGUCAAAUUUGUUUAGACUUAUAACUGCUGAUAUGAA
Molecule: long non-coding RNA, 332 nt
Organism: Mastomys coucha (southern multimammate mouse)
Lineage: Eukaryota; Metazoa; Chordata; Mammalia; Rodentia; Muridae
Exons: 2
Source: RefSeq, a predicted model, not a curated record